Molecule: ribosomal RNA, 557 nt
Filed under: uncultured bacterium
Lineage: Bacteria
Description: bacterial SSU rRNA
Rfam family: Bacterial small subunit ribosomal RNA (bases 57-557)
Source: RNAcentral
CGUUACCGUCCGUCCCGUCCCGUCCGCCGACCGUACUACGUAAGGUACGGUAGUAGUGGUAGGUUCGUACGUCCGGCGACGAGACGACGCCGGCGGCCGUGCCUAAGACAUGCAAGUCGAGCGGGGAGACUUCGGUCUCCCCGCGGCGGACGGGUGAGUAACGCGUGGGCAACCCUGCCCUUCAGCCCGGGAUAACUGCCUGAAAGGGCGGCUAAUACCGGAUGCGGUGAAACGGACGCAUGUUGGUUUCACGAAAAUUACGGUGCUGAAGGAUGGGCCCGCGUCCCAUUAGCUGGUUGGUGAGGUAGCGGCCCACCAAGGCGACGAUGGGUAGCCGGCCUGAGAGGGUGGACGGCCACACUGGGACUGAGACACGGACCAGACUCCUACGGGAGGCAGCAGUGAGGAAUAUUGGUCAAUGGGCGGAAGCCUGAACCAGCCAUGCCGCGUGCAGGAUGACGGCCCUACGGGUUGUAAACUGCUUUUCCCCGGGGCGAAUAACCCCCUCGCGAGGGGGGAUGCCGGUACCGGGGGAAUAAGGAUCGGCUAACUCCGUG